This 494-nucleotide ribosomal RNA is filed under the name uncultured bacterium. Its description in RNAcentral is "bacterial SSU rRNA". It matches the Rfam family "Bacterial small subunit ribosomal RNA", at positions 8 to 484 of the family's 1533-position model. The record is from RNAcentral.
AGAGUUUGAUCCUGGCUCAGGACGAACGCUGGCGGCGUGCCUAAUACAUGCAAGUCGAGCGAACAGAGAAGGAGCUUGCUCCUUUGACGUUAGCGGCGGACGGGUGAGUAACACGUGGGCAACCUACAUUAUAGUUUGGGAUAACUCCGGGAAACCGGGGCUAAUACCGAAUAAUCUAUUUUACUUCAUGGUGAAAUACUGAAAGACGGUUUCGGCUGUCGCUAUAAGAUGGGCCCGCGGCGCAUUAGCUAGUUGGUGAGGUAACGGCUCACCAAGGCGACGAUGCGUAGCCGACCUGAGAGGGUGAUCGGCCACACUGGGACUGAGACACGGCCCAGACUCCUACGGGAGGCAGCAGUAGGGAAUCUUCCACAAUGGGCGAAAGCCUGAUGGAGCAACGCCGCGUGAGUGAAGAAGGUUUUCGGAUCGUAAAACUCUGUUGUAAGGGAAGAACAAGUACAGUAGUAACUGGCUGUACCUGACGGUACCUAUAG